GAUUCUGGCUCAGGAUGAACGCUGGCGGCGUGCCUAAUACAUGCAAGUGAAACGGGUAUCUUCGGAUACCAGUCGCGGACGGGUGAGUAAUACAUAGGCAACCUGCCUUUAUGAGGGGGAUAACCGAGGGAAACUUUGGCUAAUACCGCAUGAAGACUCUAAGGCAUCUUAGAGGGAUAAAAGUUGGGAAACAACGCAUGAAGAUGGGCUUAUGGCGCAUUAGCUAGUUGGUGAGAUAGAAGCCCACCAAGGUAAUGAUGCGUAGCCGACCUGAGAGGGUGAACGGCCACAUUGGGACUGAGACACGGCCCAAACUCCUACGGGAGGCAGCAGUAGGGAAUUUUCGGCAAUGGGGGGAACCCUGACCGAGCAACGCCGCGUGAAGGAAGAAGGUUUUCGGAUUGUAAACUUCUGUUAUAAGGGAAGAACGGAUUGGAUAGGGAAUGAUCUGAUAGUGACGGUACCUUAUUAGAAAGCCACGGCUAACUACGUGCCAGCAGCCGC
RNAcentral lists this ribosomal RNA (504 nucleotides) under uncultured bacterium. RNAcentral describes it as "bacterial SSU rRNA". It matches the Rfam family "Bacterial small subunit ribosomal RNA", at positions 15 to 518 of the family's 1533-position model. The record is from RNAcentral.